AGCCAGCAGUGCCAACUCUGGGAGGAGCCACCUCGUUCCUGUGAAUUUUCCACACCUGCUGGUAAUCAAGCUGUCGGUAUUUAGGUCCAGCAUUCUCAACCAUUCUUUGCCAGAACUUCAGCUAACCCUACUACUCACCAGACUGCCACGUUCCACCUCUGAAAAUCUUCUCCUCAGGACACUGGACCCCUCGACAACUUCACCGCCGUAGCUCUUGCUCAUCUCGCAUACCUGCCUGCCUCCCUGCCGCAGUAAUUGGAAUGACUUGGACUCACCCGGACCUUACCCCUCCAUGCCGUCUCUCCACCUGUGGCAAUGACUCUGUGCUCCCCGGUUCCCACCACUCAUCCUGGCUUUCCCUUUACCCCUACAUCACAGGAGUUCCAGUCAGAACUGUGCUCUAGUUAUUCACGUUUUCUGCCCAACUCAAGUUUUGCUUAGUGUUGUUUAGUAUUUCUGUCCUUGUGAUAGUUCACGUUUAUCUCAUUGUUCAUAGUUUCUAGUUAAAGCUCACUCAUUGUUAUAUUUCACUGGGCUUUAAAAAUAUUGUUUCUCAUGUCCACCUCAGCUUCAUCUGAAUUCUGCACUUGAGUCCCUUUUCUCUGAUUUGGCUGUUGGCCGUGACACCUGUCAGUAUGAACUUUAUGAAAACAGGAAUUCCCUCGGUACCAUUUCAUCACACAGAGCUUACUGCUGAUUAUGAGCGGGUGGCGCUGUCACUCAGUGUUCGUUGUCUCUGCCGUGGAGAAUCCCUUCCUGUUCUAACACUCCUGUUUUUGUAUCUGCAAAGCGAAUUAAAUUUAACUCAUAAGCUCUUAUUUCAUAGUGUAAUCGUCACAUGCUUCAUGUGUACUCACUCUAAUUUAUAGUCAAAGUAUUCAUUCACUGCGUCUUUAGGUACUCUGUAGCAGCAUGGCCUCUUCACCUGUCCCUCCUGUACUUUCCUCCUCAUUGUGUCAAAUGUUUAGUUAGUCCUCGGUCUCCUUUUGCAGUA
Molecule: long non-coding RNA, 994 nt
Organism: Oreochromis niloticus (Nile tilapia)
Lineage: Eukaryota; Metazoa; Chordata; Actinopteri; Cichliformes; Cichlidae
Exons: 3
Source: RefSeq, a predicted model, not a curated record